Molecule: ribosomal RNA, 305 nt
Filed under: uncultured bacterium
Lineage: Bacteria
Description: bacterial SSU rRNA
Rfam family: Bacterial small subunit ribosomal RNA
Source: RNAcentral
CCUACGGGACGCAGCAGUGGGGAAUAUUGCACAAUGGGGGAAACCCUGAUGCAGCAACGCCGCGUGAGUGAAGAAGUCAUUCGUGAUGUAAAGCUCUAUCAGCAGGGAAGAAAAUGACGGUACCUGAGUAAGAAGCCCCGGCUAACUACGUGCCAGCAGCCGCGGUAAUACGUAGGUGGCAAGCGUUGUUCGGAAUAACUGGGCGUAAAGGAUGCGUAGGCGGUUAAACAAGUUAUAUGUUAAAUAUAUAGGCUUAACCUGUAGAAAGCAUAUAAAACUGUUUAACUAGAGUGCAGGAGAGGUAA